UGCUUGGGUGGGGACGGUGUCUAU
This 24-nucleotide unclassified non-coding RNA is filed under the name Mus musculus (house mouse). RNAcentral's name for it is "oocyte_clustered_small_RNA447". Lineage: Eukaryota; Metazoa; Chordata; Mammalia; Rodentia; Muridae. The record is from RNAcentral.